GCCUGUGUAGGGUAGCGGCAUCCUCGGGGACUGUGGAUCCCCUGACCCGGGUUCAAUUCCCGGCACAGGCC
This 71-nucleotide transfer RNA is filed under the name Candidatus Freyarchaeota archaeon. Its description in RNAcentral is "tRNA-His". It matches the Rfam family "tRNA". From Rfam's summary of the family: Transfer RNA (tRNA) molecules are approximately 80 nucleotides in length. Their secondary structure includes four short double-helical elements and three loops (D, anti-codon, and T loops). Further hydrogen bonds mediate the characteristic L-shaped molecular structure. tRNAs have two regions of fundamental functional importance: the anti-codon, which is responsible for specific mRNA codon recognition, and the 3' end, to which the tRNAs corresponding amino acid is attached (by aminoacyl-tRNA synthetases). tRNAs cope with the degeneracy of the genetic code in two manners: having more than one tRNA (with a specific anti-codon) for a particular amino acid; and 'wobble' base-pairing, i.e. permitting non-standard base-pairing at the 3rd anti-codon position. The record is from RNAcentral. Lineage: Archaea; Promethearchaeati; Candidatus Freyarchaeota. RNAcentral also lists the same sequence under 1 other name.